Molecule: ribosomal RNA, 253 nt
Filed under: uncultured bacterium
Lineage: Bacteria
Description: partial 16S ribosomal RNA
Rfam family: Bacterial small subunit ribosomal RNA
Source: RNAcentral
UACGGAGGGGGCGAGCGUUAUUCGGAAUUAUUGGGCGUAAAGGGCGCGUAGGCGGCUUGACAAGUCAAAGGUGAAAUCCCUCGGCUCAACUGAGGAACUGCCUUUGAAACUGUCUGGCUUGAGGCCGGGAGGGGGUAGCGGAAUUCCCAGUGUAGAGGUGAAAUUCGUAGAUAUCGGGAGGAAUACCAGUGGCGAAGGCGGCGACCUGGGCCAAUACUGACGCUGAGGUGCGAAAGCGUGGGGAGCAAACAGG